CAAAGAUUAAGCCAUGCAUGUCUAUGUUCAAACGGCUUUGAAUAGUGAAACCGCGAACGGCUCAUUACAACAGCUAUUAUCUACUUGACGAUGACAUCCUACUCGGAUAACUGUGGUAAUUCUAGAGCUAAUACGUGUAAUAAUGCUCCGAUACAUUUGACGAGCGCAUUUAUUGGACCAAAAUCAGCGGAGCUACGGCUCGUUAAUUGAUAACUCUGAAUAACUAUUGCCGAUCGCAUGGUCUAGUACCAGCGACGUGUCUAUCGAGUGUCUGCCUUAUCAACUGUCGAUGGUAGUUUAUGUGACUACCAUGGUUGUAACGGGUAACGGAGAAUAAGGGUUCGACUCCGGAGAGGAAGCCUGAGAAAUGGCUGCCACAUCCAAGGAAGGCAGCAGGCGCGCAAAUUACCCACUCUCAGUACGAGGAGGUAGUGACGAAAAAUAACGGGACCGUUCUCUAUGAGGCCGGUCACCGGAAUGAGCACAGUCUAAAUCCCUUAACGAGGAUCUAUGAGAGGGCAAGUCUGGUGCCAGCAGCCGCGGUAAUUCCAGCUCUCAAAGUGUAUAUCGUCAUUGCUGCGGUUAAAAAGCUCGUAGUUGGAUCUGCGCCGUAGAACUUGGUCCGCUCACUGAGUGUGAACUGAGCUUCUCGGCUAUUGUUGCUGGUUUUCCCUUUGUUGCCUUGAUCGGUUGCUGAGGGUGGCUAGCGAAUUUACCUUGAAAAAAUUAGAGUGCUUCAAACAGGCUUUCGCCUGCAUAUCUGUGCGUGGAAUAAUGGAACAGGAUUUCGGUCCUAUUUUGUUGGUUUUCUGAACCGAAAUAAUGGUUAAGAGGGACAGACGGGGGCAUUCGUAUCGCUGCGCGAGAGGUGAAAUUCUUGGACCGUAGCGAGACGUCCAACUGCGAAAGCAUUUGCCAAGAAUGUCUUCAUUAAUCAAGAACGAAAGUCAGAGGUUCGAAGGCGAUCAGAUACCGCCCUAGUUCUGACCGUAAACAAUGCCAACCAGCGAUUCGUCGGUGGUAAUUAUGCCUCGACGAGCAGCUUCCCGGAAACGAAAGUCUUCCGGUUCCGGGGGAAGUAUGGUUGCAAAGCUGAAACUUAAAGAAAUUGACGGAAGGGCACCACCAGGAGUGGAGCCUGCGGCUUAAUUUGACUCAACACGGGAAAACUCACCUGGUCAGGACACCGUGAGGAUUGACAGAUUGAGAGCUCUUUCUUGAUUCGGUGGUCGGUGGUGCAUGGCCGUUCUUAGUUGGUGGAGUGAUUUGUCUGGUUUAUUCCGAUAACGAACGAGACUCUGGCCUACUAAAUAGUACUCGUAUGGUUAUGUGCGGCGAACUUCUUAGAGGUAUAAGCGGUGCUCAGCCGCAUGAAAUUGAGCAAUAACAGGUCUGUGAUGCCCUUAGAUGUCGAGGGCUGCACGCGCGCUACACUGAAGAGAUCAGCGUGCAGUAACCAGUGUCGAAAGGUAUUGGUAACCAUUUGAAAAUUCUCCGUGUUUGGGACUGGGAAUUGCAAUUAUCUCCCAUGAACGAGGAAUUCCCAGUAAGUGUGAGUCAUCAGCUCGCGCUGAUUACGUCCCUGCCCUUUGUACACACCGCCCGUCGCUGCCCGGGACUGAGCCGCUUCGAGAAAAGCGGGGACCACUGUUUCGAGACCUUUCGGGGCGGAGAUUCUUGGUGGAAACCGCCUUAAUCGCAGUGGCUUGAACCGGGCAAAAGUCGUAACAAGGUUUCC
RNAcentral lists this ribosomal RNA (1738 nucleotides) under Echinocephalus sp. 2 AMAEG-2018. Its description in RNAcentral is "SSU rRNA". It matches the Rfam family "Eukaryotic small subunit ribosomal RNA". Lineage: Eukaryota; Metazoa; Nematoda; Chromadorea; Rhabditida; Gnathostomatidae. The record is from RNAcentral.